GGCAAGGUGGUCGAGUGGUUAAGACGUAAGACUGUAUGUAGCCUUUAUUCGGCACCUGAUCCACACAAUUAUACUAAUAAUCACCCAGUGAAUCCCUCUUGGAUGAUAUCUUAUCCCUUCGGGGUCGCGCGUUCAAAUCGCGUCCUUGUCG
Molecule: non-coding RNA, 151 nt
Organism: Aspergillus flavus NRRL3357
Lineage: Eukaryota; Fungi; Ascomycota; Eurotiomycetes; Eurotiales; Aspergillaceae
Source: Rfam